Molecule: non-coding RNA, 133 nt
Organism: Hippopotamus amphibius kiboko
Lineage: Eukaryota; Metazoa; Chordata; Mammalia; Artiodactyla; Hippopotamidae
Source: RefSeq, a predicted model, not a curated record
GGCCUCUGUCCCGUAGAGCUGUGGGAGGUCCCUUUUCUCCUCAGCCAGGACUGGGGGCCAAGAUCAGCCCUUUGAGCACCAUAGCUGGGGCUGCCAUGAGCUGGGCAGCCUUGUUUUCCUAGCUCAGACAUCU